This 503-nucleotide long non-coding RNA is filed under the name Malus domestica (apple). RNAcentral's name for it is "long non-coding RNA (MDOM_LNC019517)". The record is from RNAcentral. Lineage: Eukaryota; Viridiplantae; Streptophyta; Magnoliopsida; Rosales; Rosaceae.
AAUCUGGGCAGUUUUGGACACUAAGCACCAAAUUGGACGAAUUUGGGUUUCAACUUGAAUCAAAACACUUAAAAACACAAAGUAAAACACUUACUAACUAAUUUGACACUUUAAAACAAAGGGGGAUUGGUUUUGGACGAAUUUAAAAAACAAAACAAACUUUGUAAAUUAGAACAGAUUGUAAAAACGAAUUUGAUUUAAAUGGGUGAAUGGAAGGCUAGCUAAGGGGUUCAUCUCCACACAUGUUAUACUUGCAUACAAAACGAUUUCCAAUUGCUUUUCAAUAAACCAUGAAUUCUCAAUGCCCCAAGUUAAUUAGUUCCGCUUAAAUUAACCCUUCAGAUUUUCCUAACGUUAUUGAAUUGGAUGAUUGCAUACGACAACCCAAAACAUUCCCCACAAGUCCCCUACAUGAUUGCAUAAUAGAGAUACAAGCAAGAAUCAUUAAGUUCUAUGAAAAUCAUAAGCAUUGACGAAGCACUUGUUACUAUGAUUGCAUGAAA